UUAAAUUAUUGGUAGAUUCAAACCUCUGUUUUAACGGUCGUUAACGGACGUUACGGUAUCUAUAAACAACGUUAAAUUAUAACAAGAAAAAUAGACGAAAAAUACUCAAUCUAUUUACUUUUGGA
Molecule: small RNA, 125 nt
Filed under: Arabidopsis thaliana (thale cress)
Lineage: Eukaryota; Viridiplantae; Streptophyta; Magnoliopsida; Brassicales; Brassicaceae
Description: ATSL107220
Source: RNAcentral